This is a non-coding RNA of Lupinus albus (white lupine), 256 nucleotides long. NCBI's taxonomy places the organism in Eukaryota, Viridiplantae, Streptophyta, Magnoliopsida, Fabales, Fabaceae. The record is from the annotation of a GenBank genome assembly.
AUCGCGCGAGAAAAGAAAAUAAUCCCACAAACAAAGGAAUUAAUCAUUAUAUUAUGUAGGAGGGAAAGAUGGCCGAGUGGUUCAAGGCGUAGCAUUGGAACUGCUAUGUAGGCUUUUUGUUUACCGAGGGUUCGAAUCCCUCUCUUUCCGUUUCCAUUGAUUAUUUGGUAUUUUUUUUCUUUUGACCUUAUGGAGCUUCUUUUGUUUGAUUUUUUUUACUUACUCUUUUAUUUACUAGUUAAAAAUGUAUAAUACG